CAGUCGCCGCGGGAAUACGGAGGGUGCAAGCGUUGUCCGGAUUUAUUGGGUUUAAAGGGUGCGUAGGCGGCUAUUUAAGUCAGCGGUGAAAGACUCCGGCUCAACCGGAGCAGUGCCAUUGAUACUGGAUAGCUUGAGUGUUGGAGGGGUACAUGGAAUUGAUGGUGGAGCGGUGAAAUGCGUUGAGAUCGGAAAGAACACCAACGGCGAAAGCACUCUGCUGGGCCGACACUGACACUGAGAGACGAAAGCUAGGGGAGCAAAUGGGAUUAGAUACCCGUGUAGUCCCUGUCUCUUAUAC
Molecule: ribosomal RNA, 301 nt
Filed under: uncultured bacterium
Lineage: Bacteria
Description: partial 16S ribosomal RNA
Rfam family: Bacterial small subunit ribosomal RNA
Source: RNAcentral